RNAcentral lists this long non-coding RNA (1487 nucleotides) under Struthio camelus australis. RNAcentral's name for it is "lncRNA (ENSSCUG00000017158.1)". Lineage: Eukaryota; Metazoa; Chordata; Aves; Struthioniformes; Struthionidae. The record is from RNAcentral.
GGGUUGGCUUGGCUUUUUUUUUUUUUUUUUUUAAUAGGGACUCACAACUUUUACUACUUAAAAAUAAUUCCUUUCUUUGUUUCAUGAAUUAGAAACAAUGAGGAGAAGCUGAAGUCUGCCCAAGCCAGGUGUUUCUUGUUGGCAGCCUGCUCCCUAAUGACUCUGGCUCUCAUACAGCAGCUGCCUGCUAGUCUCUUUUGUAUGGCCUAUUGUUGCUGCACACCCCUCGUUAAUACACAUGCUGCCCGGGGCAGACCCUGAGAAUGACAUCAACUUGCUUAUCUUAGAAACCUCCAAACCUGAUGCAGGGUGGGGAGGUUGCCUUGCAUCUGCCUGGCCAACUAAUUGUGAGCGAUGCGGGUUGUGAUUGGCUCUGAUGCCGCUCGGCAAUAGGUUAAGCAAAGACAUUGCGGGUCCAUCUGUUCAUCCAUUCAUUGUUCUGCUUGCUUGCCUGAAGCCUGCAGCCGCAAUCGUGUUAAGGAGUUGCUUCUGGAACAGCUACAAGAAGCCAAUGUCUGUGUGUUUUCCAGCGAACAUGUUAGGCUGAAGAACAAACACUGUAUACUCCAUGAGCCUGUGUUCCAAGGAUCCUGUAAAGGAAAAACAAAACAAAACAAAGACCUUCAUAUAUCAGUUAGGAGGCAAAGAGGGCAUAUAAAAGGGUUAAAAAGAGGUUUGCAUUUCUACCACAUGCCCUAUUGUGUGAACAUAUGCAUGAGUCUAUUGAAAGUUUUCAGAAGAUGGGCAGGCCACCAGUUGCUGGUCUCCUGCAGUUCCAGUAGACAUCUGUUGCCCCAGAGCAUUAACCAAUCUGUUCAAUGGGACAUCCUUCCUUUGUUAGAUAGAAUGAUGCAGACAACAGCCCUCGCUGAAAUACAAUGGUAAUUAAAUACAUAGAAACUACAGCAGUAGGUAUUUAUUACAUAUUCAUUAUUUUAUUUGCAUUGUUGCAGUAUCUUUACUACAUUCAUUUUUUCUUUCUGAUCAGCUAUGCACUUCUUUUUGUGACACGUAAUUAGAGUCUCAACAAGCUGUGAUCUAAAUAUUUCCCAUUUACUGUUUAGAAGAGUUAAAAAAUAAUAUUCCUGUGUGAAAACAAGAUGAACUAUUUCACUGUAGAAUGUAUCUUGAGAAACUUUGAAGCUCUUUUGAGAAUACACAAUUGCUGUUACGUUUUGCCACAAGAUAUUGUUUCACUCCUUGUUAUGUUUUCCUUCAUGUACUAAAUUUGCAUUAAACUAUUAUGUUCAAUUGUAAGUGGAAAAUAUUCAGAAUAUAUAUUAAAAGAUUAGAUCUAUUUGCCCACAUCCUCUUUAGCAAUAGUAAUGUAUUGUGUGAAAUGGAUUAAUGAGCUGAUUACUAUUACUGUUUAGUGGAAAAUAGUGGUGUCUUAAGAAAUGGAAAAAGAAUACAGUUCUACAGUGUUCAUCCAGAGUGUUACAUUUAUACUUAAUAAAUGUUUUUGACUCAAUAAUAGAGUAUUUUAG